GCUCAGUGAGGACUUUGUGAGUGUGAAGGUAGACCGUGAGGAGCGGCCUGACGUGGACAAGGUGUACAUGAUGUUCGUGCAGGUGAGCAGCCCUCCUCGGGAGUGUAUGCGCCACAUGGGCUCAGAGCAGCUCCCCUCACCCUCGCCCUCUCUCCGCCAGGCCACCAGCAGCGGCGGGGGCUGGCCCAUGAAUGUGUGGCUGACUCCCAACCUCCAGCCCUUUGUCGGGGGCACCUAUUUCCCUCCUGAGGAUGGCUUGACCCGAGUCGGCUUCCGCACAGUGUUGCUGAGAAUACGAGAACAGUGGAAACAGAACAAGAACACCCUGCUAGAAAAUAGCCAGCGUGUCACCACUGCCCUGCUGGCCCGAUCAGAGAUCAGCGUGGGUGACCGCCAGCUGCCGCCCUCUGCCGCCACCGUGAACAAUCGCUGCUUCCAGCAGCUGGACGAGGGCUAUGAUGAGGAAUACGGUGGCUUCGCUGAGGCCCCCAAGUUUCCCACGCCGGUGAUCCUGAGCUUCCUGUUCUCCUACUGGCUCAGCCAUCGACUGACUCAGGAUGGCUCUCGGGCCCAGCAGAUGGCCUUGCAUACCCUGAAAAUGAUGGCUAACGGGGGCAUCCGGGACCAUGUGGGGCAGGUGACGGGCACUGGGUGUUCCCUGGAGGGGCAGCAGGGGGCUGUGGGGUGGGGCAGAAGCUGGGACUGGCCUCCAGCUUUGUAUCCGCACAGGGCUUUCACCGCUACUCCACAGACCGCCAGUGGCACGUCCCUCACUUUGAGAAGAUGCUCUAUGACCAGGCACAGCUCGCUGUGGCCUAUUCGCAGGCCUUCCAGCUCUCUGGUGAUGAAUUCUACUCUGACGUGGCCAAAGGCAUCCUGCAGUAUGUGGCUCGGAGCCUGAGCCACCGGUCCGGAGGCUUCUAUAGCGCAGAGGAUGCAGACUCGCCCCCAGAGCGGGGCCUGCGGCCCAAAGAGGGCGCCUACUAUGUGUGGACGGUCAAAGAGGUUCAGCAGCUCCUCCCGGAGCCUGUGUUGGGUGCCACUGAGCCGCUG
This 1053-nucleotide small RNA is filed under the name Pan troglodytes (chimpanzee). RNAcentral's name for it is "retained intron". The record is from RNAcentral. Lineage: Eukaryota; Metazoa; Chordata; Mammalia; Primates; Hominidae.